CAGUAGCCACGGGAAUACAGAGGGUGCGAGCGUUAAUCGGAUUUACUGGGCGUAAAGCGUGCGUAGGCGGCUUCUUAAGUCGGAUGUGAAAUCCCUGAGCUUAACUUAGGAAUUGCAUUCGAUACUGGGAAGCUAGAGUAUGGGAGAGGAUGGUAGAAUUCCAGGUGUAGCGGUGAAAUGCGUAGAGAUCUGGAGGAAUACCGAUGGCGAAGGCAGCCAUCUGGCCUAAUACUGACGCUGAGGUACGAAAGCAUGGGGAGCAAACAGGAUUAGAUACCCGAGUAGUCCCUGUCUUUAUACA
This 301-nucleotide ribosomal RNA is filed under the name uncultured bacterium. RNAcentral describes it as "partial 16S ribosomal RNA". It matches the Rfam family "Bacterial small subunit ribosomal RNA", at positions 509 to 809 of the family's 1533-position model. The record is from RNAcentral.